RNAcentral lists this ribosomal RNA (446 nucleotides) under uncultured bacterium. Its description in RNAcentral is "partial 16S ribosomal RNA". It matches the Rfam family "Bacterial small subunit ribosomal RNA", at positions 338 to 795 of the family's 1533-position model. The record is from RNAcentral.
CCUACGGGGGGCAGCAGUCGAGAAUCAUUCACAAUGGGGGAAACCCUGAUGGUGCGACGCCGCGUGGGGGAAUGAAGGUCUUCGGAUUGUAAACCCCUGUCAUGUGGGAGCAAAUUAAAAAGAUAGUACCACAAGAGGAAGAGACGGCUAACUCUGUGCCAGCAGCCGCGGUAAUACAGAGGUCUCAAGCGUUGUUCGGAAUCACUGGGCGUAAGGCGUGCGUAGGCUGUUUCGUAAGUCGUGUGUGAAAGGCGCGGGCUCAACCCGCGGACGGCACAUGAUACUGCGAGACUAGAGUAAUGGAGGGGGAACCGGAAGUCUCGGUGUAGCAGUGAAAUGCGUAGAUAUCGAGAGGAACACUCGUGGCGAAGGCGGGUUCCUGGACAUUAACUGACGCUGAGGCACGAAGGCCAGGGGAGCGAAAGGGAUUAGAUACCCUGGUAGUC